AUUCCAGCUCCAAUAGCGUAUAUUAAAGUUGUUGCAGUUAAAAAGCUCGUAGUUGAACUUCAGGCCUGGCUGGGCGGUCUGCCUAACGGUAUGUACUGUCUGGCUGGGUCUUACCUCUUGGUGAGCCGGCAUGCCCUUCACUGGGUGUGUCGGGGAACCAGGACUUUUACCUUGAGAAAAUUAGAGUGUUCAAAGCAGGCUUAUGCCCGAAUACAUUAGCAUGGAAUAAUAAAAUAGGACGUGCGGUUCUAUUUUGUUGGUUUCUUGAGUCGCCGUAAUGAUUAAUAGGGAUAGUUGGGGGCAUUAGUAUUCCGUUGCUAGAGGUGAAAUUCUUGGAUUUACGGAAGACUAACUACUACGAAAGCAUUUGCCAAGGAUGUUUUCAUCG
This 388-nucleotide ribosomal RNA is filed under the name Phanerochaete sp. Its description in RNAcentral is "partial small subunit ribosomal RNA". It matches the Rfam family "Eukaryotic small subunit ribosomal RNA", at positions 582 to 975 of the family's 1831-position model. The record is from RNAcentral. Lineage: Eukaryota; Fungi; Basidiomycota; Agaricomycetes; Polyporales; Phanerochaetaceae.